ACGUGACUGUGGUGGCUCCGGUGGACAAUGCUCAGAAAUUUGUAAAGGAUUUAUUAACAGUAUCAUUGGAGUGAAACAAAUCCGUCGUUGCGCACCCUUGAACCAAGCAGCAGCCAUGUUGAAACUCUCAGGAGAUGGAGGGGACGUGGAGGAAUUACAGGCGACAAGGCCACCAUUUCAACAUGUGUAUGUGUGACACAACGGGAUGUUUCUAAGGACACCUUGGGGCAGAAUGAACGACAAAAAACAGUUAAAACAGAUGGCCAAGCGGCAGAGUCCGUUGGUGAAGCCCCUGUUGGUGUAGGUGCCAAGUGCUGUAUCGCUGGGCUCUUGUGAGGUGGAGGGGACAGUGGCGCUUGAUGCUAUAUCACUAGGCUGUGUUGAC
Acanthopagrus latus (yellowfin seabream) is the source of this 385-nucleotide long non-coding RNA. RefSeq lists it as uncharacterized. The record is from RefSeq and is a predicted model, not a curated record. Lineage: Eukaryota; Metazoa; Chordata; Actinopteri; Spariformes; Sparidae. The transcript is spliced from 3 exons.